CUCGACCAUGAUCGACUCAGAAAUAUGAGUUAAAGGUUUCAGGCAUCAGUAAAAUGCACUUCCCUUGUAGAUUAGGCGAAGGCAUUACGGACAUCACUUGCCAGUUGAUUAUCAAAUUUUGCUAAUAGAAAUGCAACAAAUGACGGAAGCCAGGACUUUGGGCUUUGUAAUGAGGUCAGGUGGGGUGUUUUUCCAGAAAGGUUAAGGCUUGAAAGCAAAUUCGAUGCCAGGGGUAAAAUAAACUGAGAUUGCCCUAUUUUGAAAUCAUUUCCGAUUUUGAACGAAACCGGGGAAAAUUUGCCCCAGUUUGAUCG
RNAcentral lists this long non-coding RNA (314 nucleotides) under Coffea arabica (coffee). RNAcentral describes it as "long non-coding RNA (CARA_LNC008185)". The record is from RNAcentral. Lineage: Eukaryota; Viridiplantae; Streptophyta; Magnoliopsida; Gentianales; Rubiaceae.